UGAAACACGGACCAAGGAGUAUACAGUGUGUGCGAGUCAUUGGGUGUAAAACUCAAAGGCGUAAUGAAAGUAAAGAUGCCGUAAGGUAUUGAUAUGCGAUUCGAACACUUCGGUGAACGAAGCAGCAUAGCCCCGUCUUGAUCGCUUGCGAUAGGGCGGAGGUAGAGCACACGCUAUGUGACCCGAAAGAUGGUGAACUAUGCUUGAACAGGAUGAAGCCAGAGGAAACUCUGGUGGAAGUCCGAAGCGAUUCUGACGUGCAAAUCGAUCGUCUGAUUUGAGUAUAGGGGCGAAAGACUAAUCGAACCAUCUAGUAGCUGGUUCCCUCUGAAGUUUCCCCCAGGAUAGCUGGAGCCUGAUAUAUAGUUAUACUCGGUAAAGCGAACGAUUAGAGGACUUGGGGUUGAAAUGACCUUAACCUAUUCUCAAACUCUCAAUGGGUAUGUCGUCUUUGUUUCUUAAUAGAACAUUGACAUUGAAUAUAGGCUCCAAGUGGGCCAUUUUUGGUAAGCA
RNAcentral lists this ribosomal RNA (513 nucleotides) under Paraphelenchus pseudoparietinus. Its description in RNAcentral is "eukaryotic LSU rRNA". It matches the Rfam family "Eukaryotic large subunit ribosomal RNA", at positions 655 to 1146 of the family's 3401-position model. Lineage: Eukaryota; Metazoa; Nematoda; Chromadorea; Rhabditida; Aphelenchidae. The record is from RNAcentral.